RNAcentral lists this unclassified non-coding RNA (510 nucleotides) under uncultured Paraglomus. RNAcentral describes it as "bacterial SSU rRNA". It matches the Rfam family "Eukaryotic small subunit ribosomal RNA", at positions 569 to 1081 of the family's 1831-position model. Lineage: Eukaryota; Fungi; Glomeromycota; Glomeromycetes; Paraglomerales; Paraglomeraceae. The record is from RNAcentral.
CGCAGCCGCGGUAAUUCCAGCUCCAAUAGCGUAUAUUAAAGUUGUUGCAGUUAAAAAGCUCGUAGUUGAACUUCAGGCCUGUCCAGAUGGUCCGCCUUAAUUGGUGUGUACUGUCCUUGGGUGGGUCCUACCUUCUGGCGAAGCGGCAUGGCCUUAGUUGGUUGUGUCGGGGAAGCAGGACUUUUACUGUGAAAAAUUAGAGUGUUCAAAGCAGGCAUAUAUGCUCGAAUACAUUAGCAUGGAAUAAUGGAAUAGGACGAUGGUUCUAUUUUGUUGGUUCUAGGACCGUUGUAAUGAUUAAUAGGGAUAGUUGGGGGCAUUAGUAUUCAAUUGUCAGAGGUGAAAUUCUUGGAUUUAUUGAAGACUAACUACUGCGAAAGCAUUUGCCAAGGAUGUUUUCAUUAAUCAAGAACGAAAGUUAGGGGAUCGAAGACGAUCAGAUACCGUCGUAGUCUUAACCAUAAACUAUGCCGACUAGGAAUCGGGCGAUGUUGACAAAAUGACUCGCUC